Molecule: ribosomal RNA, 1378 nt
Filed under: uncultured bacterium
Lineage: Bacteria
Description: bacterial SSU rRNA
Rfam family: Bacterial small subunit ribosomal RNA
Source: RNAcentral
AGAGUUUGAUCCUGGCUCAGGACGAACGCUGGCGGCGUGCCUAACACAUGCAAGUCGAGCGAAGAGGAGGGAGCUUGCUUCCGAAUCUUAGCGGCGGACGGGUGAGUAACGCGUGAGCAAUCUGCCUCAAACAGGGGGAUAACGCAUCGAAAGAUGUGCUAAUACCGCGUAAGACCACAGCACCGCAUGGUGCAGGGGUCAAAGGAGGAAUCCGGUUUGAGAUGAGCUCGCGUCCGAUUAGAUAGUUGGUGGGGUAACGGCCUACCAAGUCAACGAUCAGUAGCCGGUCUGAGAGGAUGAACGGCCACAUUGGGACUGAGAUACGGCCCAGACUCCUACGGGAGGCAGCAGUGGGGAAUAUUGGGCAAUGGGGGAAACCCUGACCCAGCAACGCCGCGUGAAGGAAGAAGGCCUUCGGGUUGUAAACUUCUUUUACCAGGGACGAAGGACGUGACGGUACCUGGAGAAAAAGCAACGGCUAACUACGUGCCAGCAGCCGCGGUAAUACGUAGGUUGCAAGCGUUGUCCGGAUUUACUGGGUGUAAAGGGCGUGUAGGCGGAGAUGCAAGUUGGGAGUGAAAUCCCGGGGCUCAACCCCGGAACUGCUCUCAAAACUGUAUCCCUUGAGUAUCGGAGAGGCAAGCGGAAUUCCUAGUGUAGCGGUGAAAUGCGUAGAUAUUAGGAGGAACACCAGUGGCGAAGGCGGCUUGCUGGACGACAACUGACGCUGAGGCGCGAAAGCGUGGGGAGCAAACAGGAUUAGAUACCCUGGUAGUCCACGCUGUAAACGAUGAAUACUAGGUGUGGGAGGACUGACCCCUUCCGUGCCGCAGUUAACACAAUAAGUAUUCCACCUGGGGAGUACGACCGCAAGGUUGAAACUCAAAGGAAUUGACGGGGGCCCGCACAAGCAGUGGAUUAUGUGGUUUAAUUCGACGCAACGCGAAGAACCUUACCAGGAUUUGACAUCCAACUAACGAAGUAGAGAUACAUUAGGUGCCCUUCGGGGAAAGUUGAGACAGGUGGUGCAUGGUUGUCGUCAGCUCGUGUCGUGAGAUGUUGGGUUAAGUCCCGCAACGAGCGCAACCCCUAUUGUUAGUUGCUACGCAAGAGCACUCUAGCGAGACUGCCGUUGACAAAACGGAGGAAGGCGGGGACGACGUCAAACCAUCAUGCCCCUUAUGUCUUGGGCUUCACGCAUGCUACAAUGGCCGGUACAAAGGGUUGCGAUACUGUGAGGUGGAGCUAAUCCCAAAAAGCCGGUCUCAGUUCGGAUUGAGGUCUGCAACUCGACCUCAUGAAGUUGGAGUCGCUAGUAAUCGCAGAUCAGCAACGCUGCGGUGAAUACGUUCCCGGGCCUUGUACACACCGCCCGUCA